Molecule: transfer RNA, 72 nt
Filed under: Ictidomys tridecemlineatus (thirteen-lined ground squirrel)
Lineage: Eukaryota; Metazoa; Chordata; Mammalia; Rodentia; Sciuridae
Also listed under: 1 other name
Description: Spermophilus tridecemlineatus (thirteen-lined ground squirrel) tRNA
Rfam family: tRNA
About the family: Transfer RNA (tRNA) molecules are approximately 80 nucleotides in length. Their secondary structure includes four short double-helical elements and three loops (D, anti-codon, and T loops). Further hydrogen bonds mediate the characteristic L-shaped molecular structure. tRNAs have two regions of fundamental functional importance: the anti-codon, which is responsible for specific mRNA codon recognition, and the 3' end, to which the tRNAs corresponding amino acid is attached (by aminoacyl-tRNA synthetases). tRNAs cope with the degeneracy of the genetic code in two manners: having more than one tRNA (with a specific anti-codon) for a particular amino acid; and 'wobble' base-pairing, i.e. permitting non-standard base-pairing at the 3rd anti-codon position.
Source: Rfam by way of RNAcentral
AGGGGUAUAGCUCAGUGACAGAGCACUUGCCUAGCACGUGUGAGGCCCUGGGUUCAAUCUCCAGCAUCCCCA